Molecule: ribosomal RNA, 501 nt
Filed under: uncultured bacterium
Lineage: Bacteria
Description: partial 16S ribosomal RNA
Rfam family: Bacterial small subunit ribosomal RNA
Source: RNAcentral
AUUGAACGCUGGCGGCAGGCUUAACACAUGCAAGUCGAGCGGGGUGAUGGUGCUUGCACUAUCACUUAGCGGCGGACGGGUGAGUAAUGCUUAGGAAUCUGCCUAUUAGUGGGGGGCAACAUUUCGAAAGGAAUGCUAAUACCGCAUACGUCCUACGGGAGAAAGCAGGGGAUCUUCGGACCUUGCGCUAAUAGAGGAGCCUAAGUCGGAUUAGCUAGUUGGUGGGGUAAAGGCCUACCAAGGCGACGAUCUGUGGCGGGUCUGAGGGGAGGAUCCGCCACACUGGGGCUGAGACACGGCCCAGACUCCUACGGGAGGCAGCAGUGGGGAAUAUUGGACAAUGGGCGCAAGCCUGAUCCAGCCAUGCCGCGUGUGUGAAGAAGGCCUUAUGGUUGUAAAGCACUUUAAGCGAGGAGGAGGCUACUUUAGUUAAUACCUAGAGAUAGUGGACGUUACUCGCAGAAUAAGCACCGGCUAACUCUGUGCCAGCAGCCGCCGUAA